UACAGAGGGGGCAAGCGUUAUUCGGAAUUAUUGGGCGUAAAGGGCUCGUAGGCGGCUUGGCAAGUGGAAGGUGAAAUCCCUCGGCUUAACCGAGGAACUGCCCUCCAAACUGCUUGGCUUGAGACCGGGAGAGGUGAGUGGAAUUCCCAGUGUAGCGGUGAAAUGCGUAGAUAUUGGGAGGAACACCAGUGGCGAAGGCGGCUCACUGGACCGGUACUGACGCUGAUGCGCGAAAGCGUGGGGAGCAAACGGG
Molecule: ribosomal RNA, 253 nt
Filed under: uncultured bacterium
Lineage: Bacteria
Description: partial 16S ribosomal RNA
Rfam family: Bacterial small subunit ribosomal RNA
Source: RNAcentral